RNAcentral lists this transfer RNA (62 nucleotides) under Potamotrygonocestus sp. MZUSP 7996. RNAcentral's name for it is "tRNA-Asp". The record is from RNAcentral. Lineage: Eukaryota; Metazoa; Platyhelminthes; Cestoda; Tetraphyllidea; Onchobothriidae.
GCGAUUUUAGUUUAAUUUAAAAUAUCGAUUUGUCUCAUCGUUGAUGGUAUCACCAAAUCGCU